Molecule: long non-coding RNA, 1262 nt
Filed under: Physcomitrium patens
Lineage: Eukaryota; Viridiplantae; Streptophyta; Bryopsida; Funariales; Funariaceae
Description: long non-coding RNA (PPAT_LNC005863)
Source: RNAcentral
UUUCUUUUUUUCUUUUUUCAGAACUAAAAACCUUCAUAUUUGAUACAAAUGAAUUAUUUUGCAAACUUACUGAAAAAGUAUAAGUUUAUUUUUUUCGUGUAUUUAUUUAGAAAUAACUUCACAUGUGCUUUGUACUUGAGGGCUUUGAUUAAAAAAAAUGAUUUUGAAUAAUACAUCAGACAAGAUUUCAAAUUUUAGUUCUUAAAGUUUUUCCUACAGAUUAAAAUGUAAGUUAUAUUCAAUGCUAAGUAAGUUUCGUUUUCUUUGAUUGAUCUAUAUAUUUCACACUGUUGCUUUAUUCUUUCCAUCUUGAAAACUUCUAAUUAAUGAAGUCGUCACUUGCCACCAAUUAAUGAAGCAAUGCUGCAUCAUUUUACACAAUGACUUGAUGCUAUGUAUUUUAUUUUAUUGAUUAACAUAAUUGAUAGGUUGUCAAUAAAAUCUAAAAUUAGUUUUCAAUGCAGUAUUGUUAUAAUUACGUUUUUUUCAAUUCUGAUAUGAUACUUAAAGUGCUUUUUUCACAACACAAGAUUCUUUUAACUGCUAUCCAAUGAAUUCAUAUCUCUAACUAUCUAUAUUUUGAUUCACCACAAUCACAAACUAGUUAAUAUGAAGUUGUGUGCCUAUCAUCAUCAACAUAUCCAAUUCAAUUGUCACCUCGCAUGACAUAUCUUUUAAAAAUUUGUAUCUUCUUGUUGUCCUCUUUGUGUAAAUAAUUUAACUUCUUAUGAUAUAAAUUUGAUGAAAUACUUAGAGCCUUCCAUCCAUUCAUACUACAAUGGUUUAGGGUUUUCUUUUCAAUACAUCCAUUGGUUGAUAUGAUGAUGCAACAAUAUCUAUCUUUCAAAAGAUUUAUGGGUCAUCUACAUAAACAAUCACCAUUUGUGUGUUUAUUUAAUAUAUAGUAAUUUACAUGCUAUAAUCUAAAUCUUCAUAAAAAUAAUUGAAAACAAAACUAAGUCAAUUUUUUGAUGCCAUGUUCUUAAAGAGUAUUCCGUUGGUUCAAUCAUUUAUUACCUUUUGCACUAGACUUUUUGGAUGGUCCAAGUUAUCAUUUCAAAAUUAUGAUUUUAGCAUAUUUGUGGUGGAGUUUUUAAAGAAAAUGUGGUUUAAAUUCCAAUAUGAAAUGGUGGUGAACUUAGAACCUAUUUGGAGUCAAUUCUAAACAAAUAGAAACAAUUGCAAGCGUCAUUAAGCUACAAAUGUUGGCUUGUAAUGUACCUCAUUAUUGAGCAUGUUUUCAUUUCAUUUCAAACAUCCAU